CCUGGCUCAGGAUGAACGCUAGCUACAGGCUUAACACAUGCAAGUCGAGGGGCAGCAUGGUCUUAGCUUGCUAAGGCCGAUGGCGACCGGCGCACGGGUGAGUAACACGUAUCCAACCUGCCGUCUACUCUUGGACAGCCUUCUGAAAGGAAGAUUAAUACAAGAUGGCAUCAUGAGUCCGCAUGUUCACAUGAUUAAAGGUAUUCCGGUAGACGAUGGGGAUGCGUUCCAUUAGAUAGUAGGCGGGGUAACGGCCCACCUAGUCUUCGAUGGAUAGGGGUUCUGAGAGGAAGGUCCCCCACAUUGGAACUGAGACACGGUCCAAACUCCUACGGGAGGCAGCAGUGAGGAAUAUUGGUCAAUGGGCGAGAGCCUGAACCAGCCAAGUAGCGUGAAGGAUGACUGCCCUAUGGGUUGUAAACUUCUUUUAUAAAGGAAUAAAGUCGGGUAUGGAUACCCGUUUGCAUGUACUUUAUGAAUAAGGAUCGGCUAACUCCGUGCCAGCAGCCGCGGUAAUACGGAGGAUCCGAGCGUUAUCCGGAUUUAUUGGGUUUAAAGGGAGCGUAGAUGGAUGUUUAAGUCAGUUGUGAAAGUUUGCGGCUCAACCGUAAAUUGCAGUUGAUACUGGAUAUCUUGAGUGCAGUUGAGGCAGGCGGAAUUCGUGGUGUAGCGGUGAAAUGCUUAGAUAUCACGAAGAACUCCGAUUGCGAAGGCAGCCUGCUAAGCUGCAACUGACAUUGAGGCUCGAAAGUGUGGGUAUCAAACAGGAUUAGAUACCCUGGUAGUCCACACGGUAAACGAUGAAUACUCGCUGUUUGCGAUAUACAGCAAGCGGCCAAGCGAAAGCGUUAAGUAUUCCACCUGGGGAGUACGCCGGCAACGGUGAAACUCAAAGGAAUUGACGGGGGCCCGCACAAGCGGAGGAACAUGUGGUUUAAUUCGAUGAUACGCGAGGAACCUUACCCGGGCUUAAAUUGCAGAUGAAUUACGGUGAAAGCCGUAAGCCGCAAGGCAUCUGUGAAGGUGCUGCAUGGUUGUCGUCAGCUCGUGCCGUGAGGUGUCGGCUUAAGUGCCAUAACGAGCGCAACCCUUGUUGUCAGUUACUAACAGGUUCCGCUGAGGACUCUGACAAGACUGCCAUCGUAAGAUGUGAGGAAGGUGGGGAUGACGUCAAAUCAGCACGGCCCUUACGUCCGGGGCUACACACGUGUUACAAUGGGGGGUACAGAGGGCCGCUACCACGCGAGUGGAUGCCAAUCCCAAAAACCUCUCUCAGUUCGGACUGGAGUCUGCAACCCGACUCCACGAAGCUGGAUUCGCUAGUAAUCGCGCAUCAGCCACGGCGCGGUGAAUACGUUCCCGGGCCUUGUACACAC
RNAcentral lists this ribosomal RNA (1376 nucleotides) under uncultured bacterium. Its description in RNAcentral is "bacterial SSU rRNA". It matches the Rfam family "Bacterial small subunit ribosomal RNA", at positions 18 to 1390 of the family's 1533-position model. The record is from RNAcentral.